This 485-nucleotide ribosomal RNA is filed under the name uncultured bacterium. RNAcentral's name for it is "bacterial SSU rRNA". It matches the Rfam family "Bacterial small subunit ribosomal RNA", at positions 28 to 524 of the family's 1533-position model. The record is from RNAcentral.
GACGAACGCUGGCGGCGUGCUUAACACAUGCAAGUCGAACGAGGUCCACUGCGUAGCAAUACAAGGGAAGACCUAGUGGCGAACGGGUGCGUAACACGUGAGGAACUUGUCCCGGUCUCUGGGAUAACAGUUGGAAACGACUGCUAAUACCGGAUGACGUCGGAAUCUCGCAUGGGAUACUGACGAAAGGGUUACUGGAUCGGGAGAGCCUCGCGGCCUAUCAGCUUGUUGGUGAGGUAACGGCUCACCAAGGCAUCGACGGGUAGCUGGUCUGAGAGGAUGAUCAGCCACACUGGGACUGAGACACGGCCCAGACUCCUACGGGAGGCAGCAGUGGGAAUCUUGCGCAAUGGGCGAAAGCCUGACGCAGCAACGCCGCGUGCGGGAAGAAGGCCCUCGGGUUGUAAACCGCUUUCAGUAGGAACGAAAAUGACGGUACCUGCAGAAGAAGGUGCGGCCAACUACGUGCCAGCAGCCGCGGUAAU